Molecule: ribosomal RNA, 333 nt
Filed under: uncultured eukaryote
Lineage: Eukaryota
Description: partial 18S ribosomal RNA
Rfam family: Eukaryotic small subunit ribosomal RNA
Source: RNAcentral
CCCUUAGAUGUCCGGGGCCGCACGCGCGCUACACUGAAGGAAUCAGCGUGGCUUUCUCCCUGACCCGAAAGGGUUGGGAAACCCGUUGAAUCUCCUUCGUGAUAGGGAUUGGGGCUUGAAAUUGUUCCCCAUGAACGAGGAAUUCCCAGUAAGCGCGAGUCAUAAGCUCGCGUUGAUUACGUCCCUGCCCUUUGUACACACCGCCCGUCGCUACUACCGAUUGAACGGUUUAGUGAGGGCCUCGGAUUGGUCUCGGCCGCUCUUUACCGGGCGGCGCCGUUGGUCGAGAAGACGCUCGAACUUGAUCGUUUAGAGGAAGUAAAAGUCGUAACA